Small nucleolar RNA from Vulpes vulpes (red fox), 141 nucleotides. The record is from Ensembl. NCBI's taxonomy places the organism in Eukaryota, Metazoa, Chordata, Mammalia, Carnivora, Canidae.
ACCCAAGCUGAUUCCCUCUCCAGGGGGCUUGCUUGUGCCCCCCUCAGGAAAGUAGCAACUUGGAAUAAAAUCUGACAUGCCUCAGGGUGCUGGGAAGAGGGGCUGCUGUUUCCUUUGCCUUCCCUUUGGCUGCCUACACAC